Molecule: RNA transcript, 1677 nt
Organism: Camelus dromedarius (Arabian camel)
Lineage: Eukaryota; Metazoa; Chordata; Mammalia; Artiodactyla; Camelidae
Exons: 4
Source: RefSeq, a predicted model, not a curated record
UCUAAGUAUUUGGCUUGUACUAAGUACUCAGUAAAUGCUAGCUACUAUUACCAAGGGUCAAGCAAUCAACUCAAGCAGAAGCAGUCCUCUUGGUUGUCCUGGGCACAGCAAAAUCAGUUUAUUAACUCUACCCUCCCUAAUCUCCUUGUCUGUAGGCUCUCCAUCUGGUGGGAGGAAGACAAUCCAGCUUCUCUAGUGUUUCUCAAAGAAGUCAUAUAUUUCUCCUGUUAAGGUGAUCAAGCUGCAUCACGGCUCUCUUUGAAUUAUUUAUGUUGGAACUGUGAAGGGUAAAAAAAAAAAAAAAAAAAAAAUCAGUAAAGCAAGAAACUAUUACCAAGGGGAAACCAAUAAAAUGCCUGCAUGUAUGUGAGAAAAAGAAUGUCCAUGUUUGGGAAUACCAUGAAAUUUAUGAUCUUCAAGAAAAUUCAGACAGGCCCUGAAAGUUUCUAAAAGGUCCACAGAUGGAGAAGAGUUUUCCUCCAGGAUGGUUCAUACCCAGAAUUUCACUUGUACCUGAUUCAGAUGAUUUAAUGAUGAGAUUUGGGACUUUCGAGCUGAUGACAUUUAAAUGAGAUUUUGAACUAGAGGUGAUGUUGUAAUGGGCUGAGAAUUAGGGGGAUAUUAAGGGUGAGGUGAGUGUGUUUUGUAUGUGGAACAGAUGUGAAUUUGCCAGGGGCUAGAGAGCAGAUUGUAGUGAGUUGAGUAGAGGCCUCCCCCUCAAAAAGAUAUAUCCAUGUCUUAACCCCAGGAGCCUUUUUUUGAUAAGGUGUCCUUAUUUAGAUAAAGGGUUCUUAUAGAUGUAAUAAAAUUCAGGAUUUCUAGGUGAGAUCAUCCUGGAUUUAAAGUAGGGCUUUAAAACAAUGACAAGCGUCCUUAUAAGUGAAAAGCAGAGAAAGAUCUGAGAGACACAGAGAAGGCAGUAUAAAGAUGGAGGCCAAUAAUGGAGGGACGAAUCUACAAGCCAAGAAAUGUCAAGGACUGUGGCAAUCAUCAGAAGCUAGGUAGAGGCAUGGAGCAGAUUCUCCCACAGAACCUCCAGUAAGCACCAAGUUUACGGACACCUUGAUUUCAGACUUUUGUCCUACAAAACUGAGAGAAUUGAUUUCUGUUGUUUUAAGCCACCUAGUUUGUGGCAACUUGUCACUGGUGUCAUGGGAAAUGAAUACAGAUUUCAUAUCCAGAAGAGGGAAGCUGCUGUAACUAAUGCCUUAAAAUGUGGGAGUGGCUUUGGAAUUAGUUAUUGGGAAGAGGCUUGGAAGAAUUUUGAAGUGCAUGAUAAUAAAGGCCUAGAUCCCUUCGAAGAGAGUGUUGGUAGAAAUAGAAACAUGAAAGGAGACUCUAGUGAGAGCUCAGAAGGGUGUGAAGUAGAUGAUGUGACUCAUGGAUUCAAUCUAAUCUCAGCAGAAGGCAAGAGUAGAGAUAGUUAUCCAGGAAGGAUCGGUGAGGAACCCUCUUAUCUAAUGGUGGAGACCCCAUGCCAGCACAAAAUCAAAAGGAAUAGAGACAGGAUAAAAUGAAUGAGUACUAUCAUAUCUUCUGGGGGCCAUUAUUCAACCCACUACACUGCAUCUUUUUCCUUCUCUAUUUUCUUUUAGAUUCUCUAUUAGAUGGGUAUUAUAUCUUCUGGAUAUAUCUUCCCUAUCUUAGAAGUUUACUCAUAUUUUUCAUCAUUUUAUU